Molecule: ribosomal RNA, 241 nt
Filed under: uncultured Lactobacillus sp.
Lineage: Bacteria; Bacillati; Bacillota; Bacilli; Lactobacillales; Lactobacillaceae
Description: partial 16S ribosomal RNA
Rfam family: Bacterial small subunit ribosomal RNA
Source: RNAcentral
CGAACCUGCCCAAGAGAUCGGGAUAACACCUGGAAACAGAUGCUAAUACCGGAUAACAGCAGAUGAUGCCUAUCAACUGUUUAAAAGAUGGUUCUACUAUCACUCUUGGAUGGACCUGCGGUGCAUUAGCUAGUUGGUAGGGUAACGGCCUACCAAGGCGAUGAUGCAUAGCCGAGUUGAGAGACUGAUCGGCCACAUUGGGACUGAGACACGGCCCAAACUCCUACGGGAGGCAGCAGGU